CAGGUCCCCCAGCAGCCCAUUUUUUUUUUUCCUCCCAUCACAUUUAAGUCAUGUGUAUGGGAUCAUGAAGGAGGUGACAAUUUGGGAUUUGUCAGUGUAUGUUUCCGAAAGUGAAUGGUUCACAGCUGACGAGUAUCCAACAGAACCAGUUACACAGAAGACUGAGGAGUGGCUGUCAUGGCUGUGAUCUCACAUGAUC
RNAcentral lists this non-coding RNA (199 nucleotides) under Nomascus leucogenys (northern white-cheeked gibbon). Lineage: Eukaryota; Metazoa; Chordata; Mammalia; Primates; Hylobatidae. The record is from RNAcentral.